CACUGGAUCCUGCACACGCGAACCCUCUGUUGACAAAAAGGCUUCAAGGAAGAAGGCCCCGGGGUGUGCUCCCCAGGGCAAGUCCUGCUCACUCCCUUCCAAAGCUCAGCCCAGCUCUGAUGACUUCUCCCACCUCCACGGCCGUACCAGUCCCAUCAGGAUGCCUGGACUGUGGCCCUGGCCUUCCAAACCCACCUCCGAUCAGCCCGGGUGAUGGUGGGAAGGCAAAGAUCUGCAUCACUGCACCUCCUGUCCUCGCUGCCUCAGGUCUUCCCAUCAGACGCACAAGAAAAACCCAAGUCCUGGCUGGGGUCCACGUGAGCCCCUGCCACUCACUGUCCUCCACCCCCGUGGCCUCAGACACCCCUAGCACACACACACCUGCCUCAGGCCCUUUGCACUUGUUAUCGGUCCUGCCUGGAAUGUGCCUCUCCCAGAUGUUCCCCAGGCCUGUUUGUCACCUGGCCGGGAGGCUUUUGCAGAUCACCUCACCUCAAAGAGCUCUCCCACCACUCUGUCCCCAUUACUCCACUUCAUUUUCUUUAAAAAAAUAAAGAAUAAUUUCAAAACA
This is a non-coding RNA of Callorhinus ursinus (northern fur seal), 571 nucleotides long. NCBI's taxonomy places the organism in Eukaryota, Metazoa, Chordata, Mammalia, Carnivora, Otariidae. The record is from RefSeq and is a predicted model, not a curated record.